RNAcentral lists this ribosomal RNA (429 nucleotides) under Chloroflexota bacterium. Its description in RNAcentral is "Chloroflexi bacterium partial 16S ribosomal RNA". It matches the Rfam family "Bacterial small subunit ribosomal RNA", at positions 355 to 776 of the family's 1533-position model. Lineage: Bacteria; Bacillati; Chloroflexota. The record is from RNAcentral.
UGGGGAAUAUUGCACAAUGGGCGCAAGCCUGAUGCAGCCAUGCCGCGUGUAUGAAGAAGGCCUUCGGGUUGUAAAGUACUUUCAGCGGGGAGGAAGGGAGUAAAGUUAAUACCUUUGCUCAUUGACGUUACCCGCAGAAGAAGCACCGGCUAACUCCGUGCCAGCAGCCGCGGUAAUACGGAGGGUGCAAGCGUUAAUCGGAAUUACUGGGCGUAAAGCGCACGCAGGUGGUUUGUUAAGUCAGAUGUGAAAUCCCCGGGCUCAACCUGGGAACUGCAUCUGAUACUGGCAAGCUUGAGUCUCGUAGAGGGGGGUAGAAUUCCAGGUGUAGCGGUGAAAUGCGUAGAGAUCUGGAGGAAUACCGGUGGCGAAGGCGGCCCCCUGGACGAAGACUGACGCUCAGGUGCGAAAGCGUGGGGAGCAAACAGG